GUGCCAGCCGCCGCGGUAAUACCGGCAGCCCGAGUGAUGGCCGAUCUUAUUGGGCCUAAAGCGUCCGUAGCUGGCUGCGCAAGUCCGUCGGGAAAUCCACUCGCUCAACAGGUGGACGGCCGGCGGAAACUGCCCGGCUCGGGACCGGAAGACCCAACGGGUACGUCCAGGGUAGGAGUGAAAUCCCGUAAUCCUGGACGGACCGCCGAUGGCGAAAGCACGUUGGGAAGACGAAUCCGACAGUGAGGGACGAAAGCUAGGGUCUCGAACCGGAUUAGAUACCCCAGUAGUCC
This 293-nucleotide ribosomal RNA is filed under the name uncultured bacterium. RNAcentral describes it as "partial 16S ribosomal RNA". It matches the Rfam family "Archaeal small subunit ribosomal RNA", at positions 455 to 747 of the family's 1478-position model. The record is from RNAcentral.